Molecule: long non-coding RNA, 17242 nt
Organism: Gallus gallus (chicken)
Lineage: Eukaryota; Metazoa; Chordata; Aves; Galliformes; Phasianidae
Exons: 2
Source: RefSeq, a predicted model, not a curated record
GGGGCGUCUCGCGCAGUGACCGUUACUCCUCAGAGGGUGUGGGGUCACCUCAGGGUGGGGUGUGGUGUGGGUGUUCCUUCUGAGUGUUCGAAAACGGUUUGAGCUUGGUGUUCUAAACAGUUCUUCCACGCCUCUAAGCUUAAACGGCUAUUGAGACCGAUUCCUCCUCUUCAGGCUUCUGUUAAAUACAACUCAUUUUUUCUUUAUUUUUUCCCAUUGUUGCCUGACAAAUUUAAGCACGCUGAAGGUGCAGGUGGUUUCCAAAGGAGCCGGUUUUCCCAGUUCAAACAUUCUCUGUUCCUGUUAGGAGACUUCAGCAGGAACCUUUCCUACUGCUGGUCAGAUUUUCCUUGUGAUUCCUCAGUUCUUUCUCUCUUCUUCUCUCUCUCGUUAAGGUGCUUGUGAACUCACCCCUCCUUAUUGUGGCAUUCAGGAUAAAUAGUCCAUAAAGUCUUCAUUUUACUUUUUUUAUGGUUGUAAUUGGAAGACAAGACUUUCCAGUAAAGGAGAUGGGGAAAUAGGAGCCUUUCCUCACUUCUGAUGGUGUGAACAGUUAAUAGUUUUGGUCUUACUGGACUUCAUGGAACGCCAUUUCCAUGUUCUACUGAGUUACACCAGUUGUCCUUAAUGGCAGCAAUCCCUCCCUCCCUCCCUCCUUUCCUUCCUUCCUUCCUUCCUGUAGCAUUUAAUGAAUUCCAUAAAGAAUAGGCACAAAUUGAACUUUGUCUUAUGUAAACCACUUCAUGUGCCAUUUGUAGACAGAAAGCAAAGAACAUUUCUGUUAAGCUGCAGGUACUAUCAGUUGUUCGGUGUUGUGGAAAACAUAAUUUCUUAAUGACCACUUUAUAUGACAGUGGGAUGGAACAAUACGUCAUCAAUAGCUAAUGAGCUAUAAACUAUGUAUUUUUUUUUCAUUAGAAAUAUAGCCUAGCCUAGUUUAGUUCCCAACUUGUGUCAAGAACUAACAGUCAGAAAUCCCCAUAGCAAGCUGCUUUGAAUAGCUGGUUUCUUGCAUUGCAAAGCAGCCACAAUGAAGGCCUUCAGGGACAUUGCAGAAAUGGGGAUUUAUGGACAGGGUAGACUCACAUGAGGGAAGACAUUCAUUUGCAGACCUCAAUAUGCUGGCACCUAAUUGAAGAGUGCUCUGCAUAUUAUUAUGCUUCCAUCCCUCUCAGUUACACAGCGCGUCUCACAGACUGAUAUUUUUUUACUAAAAAGAUAUUUCUUUCCUCCCAGAAACAAUCAUCUCUCCAUUAAAUACAUCUAUCUUUAUGUGAAUUUACUGUUGCAUCACUGAUUAAAUAACAACAACAAAAGAUCUUAAGAACUAGUUACCUGUAGCUGAGGCCCUGAGAUCUGUUUUUCCUGCCCAGUUGUGUAGAUGGCAGAGUGUAGUUUGACACUGGUAUUGUUCUUGCUUGACAGCAGUCUUAUGCAGCAGUGUUAUGCAUGAAAGCUUUUCUCCAUAUAGUCUGUGAGUGACUAAAUAUGGAUUAAGGACAUACUGUUAGUACUGCAAUGUGGGCAUUAUGACCCUAUGUUUUUUUCUUAUCCCGCACACUUUGGUUUGACUGUGAAAACGUGGGGAGGAGUUUUCGGAGAGAAAUUUGUGAAUUAUAACACUAGGUGGCACUUAAACACCGCUAACAAAAGCUCUUAAAUCUCGCAGCACACAAAACCAGACAAACACAUUCCGUUACAACAUGCAGUUAAUUAUAUCCUCAAAAUGAUGUCUUGGAUUGAUAUUACUAAACAAACAUGUAUAAAAUGUAAUUACAGACAAGUGAAAUAAAUACUGUAGGCUUAUAAUUGCAAGAUGUGGGUUUUUUACUUGUGAUACACUACACACCUGUGCGUAGUUUAUAUAGCUAGUAUUUUAUGUUGUCAUUUUUGCUAGCAUUUAGAAGGGCGUAGUUUACCUUUAUGUGCUUUUAUUUACUGGUUUCAGUUUGCGCCAUAUGUCAGUUUUUAAAAAAUUAAUGUUUUUAUGUAUUUGGAUUUUAAAACUGGAGUAUUUCAAAAAGAGAACCAUAAGAAAGGAGCUUUUUUAUACAAAACUAUUUAAAAAACUUGUUUAAAAAUGCAUACACUUUAUUUUUUUUAUAAUUGCUUUGCUUUCCUCUUCUUUCUUUGCUUGCACCUCUAUUGCUAGAAUAGUUUAACAGCUACUUGAAGGUCCCAAAUAUAUCUGUUCAUAAACAUUUCUUAUGUGAUAUUAAGAUAUUCCAGGCCUAUAGAACAAUCUAAGAGCCAUGAAAUCCCAUCAGAGUAGCUUGUGGCCAUCAGCUUGGGUUUUGGCAGUUUUUUCUAUCAACUACAAAGUGGAAGACAGUUGGCAGCAUUUCAAGCAAAUAUACAACCCCUUUGCUAAGCUACUUGAAGUUACAACAAGCUAAAAAGACAAAGAUGUUCAAGGAAAUGUCCUCCUAGUCAGGGAGAAAGCUAAUAAUGCAUCAAAUGUAAAAAAGUGCAAAAACUGCCUUGUAGUUCCUCUCUCUCCUCAUGUUCCAGUAUUCCAGGGGUUGGUCUCAACCUUACUGUUGGCACAUCCACACCAUACUCUGUUCAGGGUUAGUUCGCUUCAUUGCAGUACUAAGACUUGAGCUGAGAUGAAACUCCUAAGUUGGAAAUGGUAGGGCAACUAACAUCAUGUUCCAGUACUUGCAUUUUGUUAUUUGGUAGCUCAAUUGAUUUCUGAUGUAUAGGAUGGAGAUGAUCAGCCCUCAGCUGAAAAUUCAUGGAUUGAUUUGUUUAUUUGUUUAUUUUGUGCUUUUAGGAAAGAUCCUUUUAGGUUCUGGAACUGUAUUUCCAGUAGCAGUUGAUACAGCUGUGAAAUAUAAAAUAGCUUGGACAAUACCUGAGACAAUUUACUGAUGUACACAUUCAGAAUUGUCAAGGGGAUACAAUACACGUCCUUACAGAUACUUCCUAUCUUUAGUUUUUAUGGUAUAGCUAUUUUUUUUUUUUUUAAGAUUUCAAGAAAAUAGUUUUGUUCUUGAGUAAUAACAUUAAGCCUUCUCUUCAGAAAAAGAGAAAUCAAUGGGCCUCAACUGGCUUUAACAGAUGUACAGGUAGUAGAAUGUUUUACACGUAAUUAUAAAAACUAUUUACAGUAAUUAGCUUUAAUUUAAUUGCUUCUCAGCAUGUUAGGAUUGUAAAUUACAGCUUUAUUUCAAACAACUCCUGUUGUCUGUUUUUCCUAAGCUGAACACAGGAAACCCAGUGAAAACAAACACUUGGAGAACCGCAAUUCUCCGUUCCUGUUUGAAGUAUGUUGAAUGGGAAUGCUUUGCUCGCUUUGAUCUUGCAAGCAGCGCUUCACUUACCCAUGUAGACUACAUCUUACUUCCCUUAGCACUAAAAGUGUUCUCCUCCUGUGAGCAAGAAGACCAUCACAAGAUUACCAUGGAGCAAGCCAGCUCCUGCUAAUGUUCGCGUGAAUCCAAUCCCAUGCAAGCACUGGUUAUUUAAACAAUUGUCCAACUUCUUCCAGCUGGCUGCGCUAUUUAGUGUUUGUCCCCAUUUUUUGCCAUGCAAACCUGAACGAGGGUGUUCUAUUUUUUAAUUUCAGUUCAGAUUUUGAACGCUUUUAUUAUGAAUUUCUUCAACCCCUGAGAGAAAUUAGAGAGGCAACAAUGCUUGUCUUAUUGCAUAACACCAACAUUUAUUGACAAUGAAAAUAGCAGAACUUGCACAGAAAGCCAGUUUCUAAUAAACCCUUUUACUAGGUUGUUGUUACAGAAGUUGAAUUUUUCAUUUUUUAUAGAAAAAAAUUCUUCUUUUUAAAGAAAGGUCACUCAGUCUUUUUGGAAAGAUGUGUUAAAUGACUUUUCCCCCUUUACUAAAUUUAGUCUUUUGUUGAAUUGUUUCAGUUCCUAUUAAACCUUCACAAAAAUGUGCUUUCUAUUAUGUUUCUUCUAAUAGGUUUCUCAGCCUUAUAACUGUAAUAAAUUUGUCAGUCUAGCUUCACUGAACACCGGACUCCUAAAUCCUACCACAACAGAUUAUAAAUAUAACCAUUUCUAAACCCUUUCAAGAAGUUUUACCCUUUCUUUCAACUCAUUUUAUGUACUCAGCAAUUCAGUGAAAAUAACCUUUCAGACUCAUUCUUUAAACUCUCCUUUUUGGUGAUAGCACAGUCUAGUCAUUUGAUCAGUCAGUCAGAAAGCCUAAGUUCUGCUCCCGUCUCUGCCACUGUGGAUUCAGAGUCGGAACCAUCUCACUUAAAGUUUCCUUAGGUGUUCAUUUAGAGGAAAUGACCAACUUGACCCAUAUAGGGCCUGAUUUUCAGAGCAGCUGAGUGCUCAGAACUGCAAUUUAAAUCAUUUUGAGUGGUGCUCCUUAGCACUGCUAAAAAAAUCAUGCCCAAAGGCAUUUUGUUAGGUAACCAGAAUGGAAAAUCUUCAAAUGUAGCUUUUAUAACAUUUUUUAAAGAGACAAAUAUCCUUUGUUUCGUUUGUUUAAUCCCUUUCUUCUAAUUUGCUUCCAUAGGCCCUUUUCCUUUUCCUUUCCUCCCUUCCCCUUCCUCUUUCUCUUUCCCUUUCCAUUCUUUUUUGUUGAUGGGGGAAGAAGUUAUGCUUUUUUUAGAAAAUAAAAUACUAUUUUGAUGAACAGUUUUCUUUAGGGCGUGUUUUAAAGUUUAUAUUAAUGAAAACAAGGCAUAACAAAACCUAUAGAAUGUUAAUAACCACACUAAAAGCAGAAAAGCAGAAAUGCAAGCAGCAUGAUCACACAAAUCUAAGAAAAGCAGAAUGAAUGUAAAUAUCUGAAGCCCGGUAUCAUAAAAUGAAUCAACUUUGCUUUAUAACACUGUAUAACAAAUGGACAGGAAUGCAUCAUAUUUGCUUUGUAUGAGUGAAUAGGAAGUAGGGAGAGAUAAGGGUUAUCUAAGUAGUAUUAAAGUUGAAUUAAUGAAAAAUUCUAGGGAACACAAAUAAUCAGUACUAAUCCCAAAUUACAACAUAGACUCUGUCCUUCAAUUUAAAGCCCCUUGUCAUGCCUACCCAUAAUCAGCACAUGAAGGAGAAGAUGGACUACUUCUCUUGUUUUUCCCUUGGAGAGAAUUACUUAGCUGAGCUCAUUGCAAGCUAGUUAGGGUUUAUUCUACUUGUUUGAACAGAUGUAACUGCUGUGCUGUGUUUCUUGUCAUCUGAGUUCAAGAAAAAUGUAUUCAACCCAAAGAGAAAGCUUUUAGGAUGAUGAAGACAGUGGAGAAAGUUUGUUUUGUGAGAACAGGUUAAAAAGUUUGGCUUAUUUAUCAAUACAAAAGCAGGAAGAGUAUCUACCCAUACGUGAGUAGUUAACAUCAGAGAAAAAAAGAACUUCUUUAAGGAAAAAGAUAGAACUAGCAGUAGAACAAAUGAAUGUAAUUAGUAAACAUGCUCUUGAAAGAGGAGCUUGAGGAAAGUACCUAAACAUCAGACACGUUAACUUCUAGAGAAGCCUACUAGAAAGAGGAACGAUGCAGUGCAAGAAAACAGAUUCAUUUUAACAUGGACCUCAAUUGACUUGAGACUGGCAGUCUGUGACAUGGCUUCCUGCGAGACUUGUGCCUCCAAAGAGGAGUCCAAGCUGCAGAGCUUUUCCGAUGGCAAUGUUCUGCUGAGUUGUGUUGGUGAACCUUCAAGAAUGACAUCACCAAUGUCAAUAGCGUGAUAACCUGAAAGCAGGUUUUGAGAGAAAAUUUGGGAGCUAGAAUUCCAAGUCACCUGCUGCUAUGCCUCUAGCUAUGAAUAGUAUUGCAGAGGGAAGAGCGGCAAUAAACCACACAGUGCAGAACUUCACAGUCUGCUUUCAUUUGCCUGCCAAGGCAGCCUUCUUGCAGUUCUCACCAAAGCUAUAUGUGUGUAAAGAGUUGCUUUGCUAUCCAGACAUUGGAAGGUUAAUGUUUUUUUAAAAUCUCUGCGUUGUGAAGAUCUUUCUGCCUGCAUAGGCUUCCUAAUGUAAACUUCUAUUUGCUGUGAUCUCAAUGCGAGCUUUACAUUACAAAGUCCUACAUGAUGUUGGCUGUUUGUCUGAACCUAUUUCAUAGCCUAAGGCACAGAAAGACAGGUGAAUUUAAAUCUGAGCUUUCAAGUUGGCUUUCAAAUACUUGUCAGUUUAAAAUAUUAAAAUAACAGCAAGUUCUAACAACGUUCUCAGAUUUUCUUGCCCAAUUGAGUAUCUUUGGCUUUGCUGAACAGGGCUCUAUUUGUGAUCAGAAUUAUGGACAGCACUGUAGAGUCCAGGCUUUAAAAUAGCUGGAUAAAAAUGUCAGUGCUGCCACUGACAUGGAAAGGGUCAAUGCUUGGAUUUCUGGCAUUUGUGUUUUGGCUCAAAGUAGUAUAGGAGAUUUUCUUUGGAAAGGUGAAGUAGUAAACUCGGUGAGAAAUAUGAUAAAAGAAAUGUAGUCUAAGGAAUGAGAAAAUUACUUUCCUUAGGGAAUAUCAUUUAUUUUCUUCAUUAAAUCACAUCACAGAAGGGUAUCAGCUGAUGGUUAGAUCUUCAAUUACUGAAAAUGGUUACAUUCACUUAUGUCAGGUUUUUUUUUAAGAAAAUGUUUUUCUAUGUAAAUUUCCUGCUCUGUGCAUGUGUGUAUGUAUACCUUUGCACAUGUAUGCACAUCUUUCUUUAACAUCAUUUAAUUUAACUUCUUCAGUAAUUUUGGAAGUUUAUCAACUGCAGCCAAGUUUGACUCUCAGGUUACUAACCUCAAAGUCAUCGUAGUUCAAAAUAUUCCAUGAAAAUAGAUGGCUAUGCAGAGAGGAAGAAAGGCUAUAAAGAGAGCUUACCACUUAAUAGAUGUCAAAUGCUCCACAUAGGAUUUUUCCUAACAACACAAACUCAUGGUAAACCAGGUUCUGUUAUUCACAGAGCUGCAUAUUUACUUAAAAUUUUAUUGUAUUUAGAGCAACUGAUAUAAAACAAGUUUUUAUAGGCCAUCAAGCAAACUUCUGCUAAAAUAUGGACUGUCAUAUAAAUCAAGCAGUUAUAUGUCGUAAGUUUCCUCUCUGGAAAUGGCUCUCCAUAAUUGGCUAAUCUCUCAAAAUAAUUUGUGAUACCUUUUUAUACAUUGUGCCAACUGGAAUAGUCAAACAGGGCUGAUUAAAAUUAUGCUUCCCCAGUUCUACUUAAAAUAUGCAGUUCAUAACUUUUAUAUACCUUGGCUUAGACUGUUCUAGAUUUCUAGAAGCAAAUUCUGUCUCAGCACUAGUGGAAGCACAGUGAAAGGAAGAAAAUUGCUUUUAGUUUCUGUUUAUGCAUGAGAGACCGUGCAUGUCACUUGUAAUAGCAUCAUGGAAACAACAUUAGGAUCCAUGGCCCAAAUCCCACACAGCGAAGUGCUGAAGGUCCCUCCCAGCAGUGUUACCUGAACUGUAAUCUACUUGAUCGCGUAAUCAUAAUUUUUUUAGUAAAGUGAUCUGGUUAAAAAAUGUAUUUUGAAAUGUAAUCGUGGCAGCAGAGGAUCAUUUUGAUGUAACAUUAUUUUGUAUCAAGCCCUCCUGGGCUUUCUGAGGCACAUCUCCUGCUGAAGAUAUAGCACAGAAUUAGGAGUAGAAUUCAUUUAAAAUAAAAGACCAAACAAAGGAAAGAAACUCUAGAAAUUUGUUCAGUAAGAGAAGUGAGUAUUUUUAAUAAAGAAAGAACCAGCUAAUUUAAUUUGGAGCAGUAACUUUGGAAUCAUACAAGUCAAGAGCUAUUCCAUCACUAAGUCUUUCUAAAGAUGCACUAUGAGAGUACGAAAGCGAAUCAGUAAAGACAGCUUUUAAAGGAUGUCAGCACUCCUCCAUUGCUUUUAGCUCUUCAGCUAACUGCUCCUUUCCGUGUGCCUCCAGGCGUAGCUGGUGGGCGGUAGGAGCAGAUAAGAACAAGCACACUGCACUGGAUGCUCCCACCAGGGCCUGCCCGUGCUGACCAGGAGCUGCAAUGUGGAUCCACUUCCUUAUCCCACACGAUCUCACACUGGUGUCUGUGUGUGUGUGAUAAAAGCAGUGUAUUGCCCUUAAUCUUCCUCUGGUUUUGUGCUCUGCAGGAGCAGGAGCAGCUCUCACCAUGCACAGGAACCAGCAACUACUACAGAAUUUGCUCCUUUCAGAUAAGAAAACAUUAAUUGCCAGUGUUCACAACAGGGCAGAAAAGAAAGAUGCAGCUAAUGAUGUGCUCUCUACCUUGUUUUGACCCCCCUGCCUUGUUCCUCCAAGCUGAGGUGUUUUUACCUCCAAACCUCAGUAGUGCUCCUGCCUCAACCUGACACAUAACACCCCAGAAGGAAUUACUUUCAAACAAAUCAUGCGUUUGCAAAACCUACACAAGUUCAGAGGGAAAAAAAAAAAAAAAGGCUUCCUUUUCCCCUGUAGUUUAUUGAGAGUUUUUCUGUUUGUUUAUUCUCAUUGCAUAUGCUUGCAAGACCAUGAAGAAAUACAACUCUUGGAAGGCUGGGAAGAUAUGAUAAAGGCGCCUUCCUUCUCAUCAUCUUUCUGGUGUAGUCUGUGUUUAGAUUUCAUUUAUUUGCAUUCAGAAAAGUAAUUGGAUUCGUUUUAGAAAAUAACUCAGCAUGAUAUGGGAGUGAAGAGAGAGAGAGACAACAAAAGAUUUCAGCCGCAAAACUGAUAUACAGUAAAUGUGGCUUGGGAAAAUUAUUUGUUAACUUUUUGACUAAAACUUCUACAGAGGCAUUUGGUUUUCUAGCUAUGUCCUAGGCCCAAACACACAUCCAAAAACUAGAUGAGUCUCGUGGGAAGCACUACGGUUAGAAAUGACCUCAUUCUUUUCAAACUGACAAAAUGCUCUGCAAAGGCCCAUUAGUACUCACCAAAAAAAGACACACAUUAUAGAAGUGUUUUAGAAAGAGGCAGCCAUGUGCCAUCAGGGUGUAGGAUUCAGGCUUGUUUGCCAUGGCACCACUGGAAGUUCCAGGCAGAUCUUCCCAAUAUAAUACAAAAGAUCAGAUCUGCAUUAUCAACAGCAUGAGAAUAUUCAUCCUGUAUUUUCUUUUCUAAGAGCAGACUACAGAGGGUAUCCAGGGGACAUGGUUAAGAGCAGCACACGUAAAUUCUUACUGAUUUCUGACAAUCUGCAGAUGAGGCACAUUCUGAACCAGACAUCAUGGCCACAUCUUUGUGUUUAUUCCUCAGUUUGAACUCAUUUGUGUAAAUGUCUAAGGUAAAGAGCAUCACACAUAAAUAAACAGCAAACCUGUCUCUUCAUUAUGCAUCCACACACUGCUUCUACUGAUGCACAUGGGUCCACAGCUAAGGUCCCAGGAUACCACUACAACAGAAUAAUUACUGUUCAUCAUAAAUAUCUUUGUCAGAAGACUGGAAAUGAUAUGCCUAAAAUUGCUCAGGAAAAAAAAUGCAGUAAUGCUGAAAGCCAAAAGAUUUAGUGAUAAGGUGACAGUAAAAUCUUGGCUCCACUAAACUCGGAAUGAACUUUGCCAGUGGCUUCAGAAAAGUCCAGAUUUUUGCCUUAGAACCUGCCCAGACCAGCUGCUCUACCUGGAUGUCCUGAGAGAGCCUCCUGCCUGAAGAGGCUCCAAGAAAAGGUAUUGUCAUGAAUUCAGAAAACUGAAUUUUAACAAGCCUGUGUAUGCCAUGAAUGGCUCUGCCACUCUUCUGAGAACAAUCUACUCCUUCCAGUUUGCUAUUAUUUUUUACAAAGUCAGAUACUGCAGCUGAGCGCCCACAGUGUCACCCCCUUUGAGGGAGAACUGGCAAAAAACAUUCAAGUACAGAGGAUUUUGUAAAACUUUGUUGGCUUGCUAUUUGGAGAGCACUGGGAAGGGACUGUUGUGAAAAAGAAAAGAUCUGAGCAUAAAUCAUUUUUUUCCCCAAGUUUUCCAUUGGGAAAAGGACCAUCACUAUUCCUUCUUUGGCAAUUUCUUUGGCCAUUUUACAGUGAGGGCGGCUGCUGGUUGAUUUAAUACUUUACAUUGUGGCCACUUCAGGGAAACAAGUCUGUUCAGAUCAUGGCUGACAGAGAUGGGGAUCUCUGAUUUCAUGUUGAAACUGCACCUUUUGAUAGCAGACAGAUCUUGUGAGAGGGGAGUUGGGGCACUAGCUCAGAGAUAGGGAUGAGGACAGGGGUGGCCUUCUCUGUGGCCUCUCCACCAUGGGCAGACAGACCUGUGCAGAGCUCUGCUUGCUUUGAAAACUGCCAGCAGACUCUUGGCCUUUUUCCCAAAUCUGUGCAUACCAACACAAUGUCAGGAGCUCAACUUUGCUGCAGGCAUCAAAUGCCAUGUGGGCAAAUGUGGGAUGUGGAUGAUUGCUAAUCACAUCCUAGGAAGAAGUGGAGCCCUCCAGAAUAUAACAGUGUAUGAUAAAAUCUAAACGAGGAUCGCAUAAUGAAGCUGGGAUUAACUGCAUGGGGAACAUGGAGCUGCUUGCAUUGUAAUCUGUUGCACUCCAUACUACAACCUUAUAAUGAGGUUAGUUUAUAAAUCAUUAAUAGAUCAUAUAAGCUCCUAACAGAUAAGGAAAACAAGGUUUACAAGCCCAUCAGCAGAUAAUGUUAUAUUGCAGUAAUAAUCAACCUGCUGAACUCUGUAAUCACCUAUAGCAGUUGAAACCUAUUUGUGAAAGUAUCUAUUAAUUCAUAUUUACUAUUACAAAAGGAAAGUUAAUAUGACAGUAACGAGCAUAUAAUACGAGAGCACUUUUUAAUGCUAUUUUGUCUGUCAGUGCUUGCUUAUGCUUGGCAAGAUCCUUCUGUAAAUAGGAAAUGUGUUAGCUGGAACUCAGGUGGGAGGAGAGAGGAAUUCGUUUUCCUUCUAUUGUUGCAUUGUUAGGAAGCUCACUUUUAGAGCUGGGCAGAGGCAAUAAUGGCUUCUUGGCAAAAUGCUUUGAUAAAGCUGUUAGGACAGCUUUGCAAUUAGCAGAUUUCUGUCUGGAAUCCACCCCCCCCCCCCCCAACAACAACCAUUCCAUGGGAAUAAAAUCAUGUCCCCAUGUGCAGCCGUAGAGCUGGGAUCUCUGCAGGGCAGUGGCCUCUGUGCUAGCCCAGCCACCAAGUGCUUCACGCCCGCCUUUGGUCUCCGGUUCACUUGGUUCUAGAGCAUGACUUCAGGUUUUGUGUGCCUAACAAGGCGAUUGUAAUUGCAGUAAGGCUAAAAUACCAUUCCCCUGAAGUUCAUUGUAUCCUAAAUUCCCUCAAGUCUUGGGCUCAAAGAAAUGCUUUUGGGAAAGCAGAAUGUAAGCUAUAGCAGUUUAAAUGGCACUGCGUGAAACUGAUUGUCAUCCUUUCCAAAUCCAGUGUGCAGGAACUGACUACAUAGCUUUACAACUGUAUGUAUAUUCUCAUCUCCUGUGAGAAGCUGAACUGCAAGGAUGUACCUACAUUUCUCUAAGGCUGGGACAGACAUUUUAGCAGUGUGGAUGCAGCCUACCUUUCAUAGAAUAACCUCAGGUCUUUCUUCAUAUUGCUUUGCAAAAUUACUUGCAUCCUUUAGUGGCAACCAAACUAAACAAGAAGUGGAUAGGAGGGAUUUUAGGGAAUGAAUUGGCUUAUCUUCUGAUAGAAUAGCAGUAGAUAGAAUUUAAAAACAAAAACAAAAAACUAGCACAACCCCCUUCCACAAGCACUAGUAUUUCUCAUUCAUUACCCUGGGAAAUAACAUGCAACAAUAGGAUUAUGAUGACUGCAAAUGCAGCAUAUUGAAAUAAAAUUAGUUUAAAAGGCAGGAACAGUAUAAUCAUCAGGAACCUUUCUUGCAACCUGGAAAAUAACUUUAAUAACUUUAUUGUUGGAACUAGUCUAAAAAAUGUAGAGCUGUUCCUCCCCUUAUCCUUCCAAUACAACAGAGAUUGCGUUAAAAGCAAUAUCUCCAGGUCUGGAGGGCUCUUUUGGUAUUGCCUACCUAUGAAACACAGGGACCAUGGCACGCAGCUGGAAAUCAGCAAUGCAGAGUAUUGAAAUCUCAUUCAGACAGGGAUGUAUUUCAGAGUAUGGGACUGAAGUGGAAUAUUCAUUAUGUGGAAAGUUAAUGCAUCAUGCUGCCUAGGAAGGAUGCUGAGAGCUGGCAUAGAAAAUAAAUAAAGAUUGAAGCCCCUGUAAGUACAGGCAGAAUGUGGAAUAAGAGCUCCAAAGGUAAGGAAUUCCAUCACCGAAGUUAAUAUUCCUUUUUGGAACAUGCCUUUUGGAGUCACUAAGAUGGAAAUAACAUAAUGGGACUUUUCUAGCUACUUCAGAAAGGAGCUGUUGUAUAUUGUAAGGAAGAAAAGAGAGUGGGAGAUAAGGCUGAAAAUUUGGGCAGGGGUGGCUGUGUGCUCAGGAAGAUGUCAGCCCUGCACAGGGCUGCUCAUUGCUGAGGCUAUCAUUAAUUGCCCAUUAAAUACCCAUACCCAGUCACAGCACCUGCAGUGGUGGGGCUAUUUCAUGCUGGUUGUGAGAGAAUGGACUUUCCUAAUCUGGUAUAUAGUUGCGAGAAUACAGCUUUCCCACAAAAUGCCUUGAACAAUCUGAAACUCACCAGGGAGCCACUGGACGAGGUCAACACUUUGUGCCAUGUUUCCGUGACUUUGUGAUCAUUUGCAAAAUGAGCUUUAUCAUAUUGCAGAACAUGGUCUUCGUCCCAGUUACGUGCAGCAGGAGGGGAUCACAGGAGAGAAGAGAAUAAAAAGCAAGGGCAGGGGAGGACUGCUAUUAUCCCCAAUUUGUGAACUUCAGUGUAAUUUGACUGACUUUAUGCCAUUUAUUUUAAAUGACCACGUUCUUCUCAUUCGUCAUUUUGGAGCUUAUUCUUUUUCUUUUUGUCGUAUCUUUUAUGCGACAAAUUCCUGCUCAAUACAUUUUUUGGCAGUUACAUACUUAAUCUUGCUGAUUCCUGUGGAUACCAGCACUGCAAUGUGUUUCAGACGCUGUUAGAGCUGAUGAAUCAGAGACCAGUCCCUCAUCUGUGCUGGGGACUCAAGGUGCUGAGUGCUUGCUGAUCAUGCACCCAUACCUCAAGCUGGGAAAUUAAGAGGAGAAUUUUAGUGAGCAGAGAAAACUGCACUGUGACAGUGCUCUGUUCAUCUGACCAUGUAAGCUUGAGUUCAUUCUUGCUAAAAUACCCAUAAAAUGUUCACCCGGUUUAUUGGGUGAAUGUUAUGAAGACAUAGCGGCAUGCAAGCUGGCUACGGCACACUGCUAUUGUGAUGCAAGAAAGCUAGUAGAUAUUUUUUAAUGCGUAUCUAAACUGUGAACAGAUAGCAAGAUAAAUAAAUGCUGUAAAACUGUACCGAUGUCCUACGUGAAACCAAUUAGGUAUGUUACUGGUGUUCCUCAUUCUUUCCAAAUACCUUAAUGCAACAGACUACUGUGAGAUAUGUUGACCUAUUAGGUGUGUGCCAGAUGGAUAGGACCCUGUCUACUGCAGAUGUAUUUGGAAUGACUACACAAACCAGUACAAAUCAUGAUAACUCAAGUCUGACAUACUGGCAUUAACAGUGACCACAACUGGCUUCAUAGUAGGUGAGCCAAUUGCUACAGGUUUCAGGAACCACAUCACUGAUAGGAGAGCAAUAGCAUUUCUGAACUGCAUACAGAAGGUAUGUUCUGAUAGUAGACAAGCCACCUGCACCCGUUUUUAUUUCAGAAAAAAAAAAAAAAAAGAAAAAAGAAAGGAAAAGGAAAAAAAAAAGAGCUAAGAUUUACUUAUAGCCAAUUUCACAGGCUGCAAUCAAUUUACAGGUCACUAGGAGACUUUCAGGCAAAGGCACAACAUAUGUCUAACAGGAUCCAAGUAAGAGGUUUAAGUAAUAAGGAAGCUUAUUUAAGGCACUAAAAUUCAGAAGGCAGAGUCUUUCCUAACCUAAGCUACUGAACUUUUAAGAGCUUUUAUGAUUUUUUUUCCCCACACUAAUGGUAUUUUUCAUCUCAAAGGCUAGUACUAAGCAACACUAAGGACAUUCUGUGCUAGUUGCUAAGUGUUCCUAUACUUAGCUAAGUAAAAUGUUCAAUAGCCUAGCCAUUUUACUCUGCCACCUAUUUUUAUACAUCUUGCUGUAUUACAGCUAAGAUAACCUGGAGUUUGCUCUGGUCAGUCACACCCAUGGCAUUAACAUAGAGUAUGUUCUGCAACCUGAUGUUCUCUACAGAUGUCGGCUGAUAAUAUCAUGAGUGAAAUGAUACUGAAUUGAAAUGAGAUCAAAUUAUAUUUCAAAUGGAAGCUACUGCUUAGCGUGCCAAUCUGAAGAUUGGAAUCAGAGUUUGUCCAGUGGUACCGAUGCUAAGCCAAUACCCUGAAAGAUAAUGGUUUGAGCCUAUUAGGAAGAAUUCCUGGAGGGCAAAGCUGUGUGCUGCUGAUGGUCCCAUCAGGCUGCAUGUAAUGAAAGCCUCAAUUUAUUGUUUUUCUAUGGUUUUCUAUUCUUCUUGGUCGUCUGCUGAUGAAACCUGAUAAGCACCUUGUUACAAGAAAUUACUCAUUUAUCUAGUACACGCAGGACACCCCUAUUCCAUUCCUCUUGUGUAUGGGGUAGGAACUGUUUUGCAGAGAGAAAACAGACAGGCUUUAUUCAGGAGAUCAUUUACUCCCAUGCAUUGGCUGAGAGUGUGCUAAAGAUCUCAUUUUAUCCUGCAAUCAAGCUUGUCGGCUCUCCCCUUCUCAGCAAGGAAAUAAAGAGGAUUGCAGCUUUCCUCUCUUGUAGAACAGUAUACAGCAUCUCAGAUCUCUAUUGCUGAACCACAGAACCUGCUAUGCCACCUGCCAAAUUUAUAUUAUUUGAAGUAACCCCCCUCAACUCUCAUUUUACAAAAUUAAUGGUGAUUGCCAUUUUUCCAGGUUUUCCUGUCUUGCUAGAAAGUCCAUUGAGGAAAGCAUCUCAAAGGAUGACAACACACCAACCCUCCUUAGAUAUAGGAACAAAGUAUUUAUAUUAGAUAUCGUACAAGAAUAUCCUGUGGUAUGUGACAUAAGACCAACAGGAUUUGAAUUCAGUUGUGACAGAAAUUACGAGCCAUACAGGAAGCAUAGCUCACAGAGACAGUGAAAUGUGAAGGACUGAAAACUGCUCCCAGAAGAGACAUGGAACUGAAAUGCAGAAUCUUUUCAGAAUUCUAAAACAUAACAUAAACCAGCAGCAAAGCCGACAUCAACUCCUAAACAAGGAUUUCAAGACAUAAGGAAGAUAACAACUUUAGAAAAGAAAAGCGAGCCCAGUGACUGUCACAUUAAUUGAACACAGUGUCAGGAAAGAUUGCUUUGUGAAGUGUUGCUUCUUAAAGCAUUACAAAGUCGGAACAUCAAAACCAUUGACUGGCAGCAAAGGGGAAACAGAAACCACAAGUGAUCGAUAAGGCAACUGCUGGCCAGGGCGCUGACAUGCCAGUGCACGAGGUCCUCCAUGGAGCCCCAAGUGGCCACGUACCAGGACUGGGACUGAGCCAUUGAUCAAAAAUAUUUUUCUUAUUGCAAAGGUCUUGAAAGUACACCUUCUGGCAUUUGAAUCCAUUUAAUAAAACGCUGCUAUUAUUUGCGCCUGCUUACCAUGACUGUUAGCAGCCUCUGGAAGCCUUAAAGGCUAAACUCAUUAGCUAUUUAUUACAGAAGAAGUUGGGAUCUCCUGAUACUGCCAAUUAAUUCAGGCAUAUUGUUAGUAGUGGAAAGUGCUGGUAAAUCAUAUUUUUUUUUUUUGCCCGAGCAUUGAUGACCUACUUACUGUGUGUUUCCACUGGAUAUAGGUCUUCUCCAGCAUCAGCACAGGAUCUGAGCACAUUUCCAAGGCUUUGCCUUCCCUCCUGCCCUUCUCUCCUGCCCAUCACUCACCAGGACAGCUCAGGAGCUGGUGAGGCAUCUCAGUACUGUAGGGUCUGAUUCCUGUAACCACCACAGAUGACCCUUUUUAUGCUGUGCCACUGUCCUAGGAGGUGUUCCCACUGCCUAGCAAUGGUUAGCUCACAAGCCUUGCCAGCCGGCUGUGCUUGGUCUUGUGCUGCCCUGGAGCUGCCAUGCCCAUCACCUGCUGCAGAACAAGAGCCCCAACACCGAGCAGUUUUCCUAUAAGGACAACAAUGUAAGUAACACGUGCAAUCAGCACAAAACCACAGGCAGUAUGUGGAGCUGUUGAUGGUUGUUUUAUUUUUUGCAAAACUGGGCACUGACAGCACAAUGUGCCUGUUUCAAUGACAGCUCUUGGCUGUGGUGCAGCAAGUAGGUAUGGCUUCUAAUACACACCAUGGGGAACACUUGCUGCUCUGUCUCUAGGAUUUGGAACAUCUGUCCCUCACUACCGUCCCGAGAUGGGGAUGAAUGCUUUUCCCUUCUCCUCCACAGCGCCCAGUGAGCUGCAGUAGGUGCAGGUGACCCCAGCAAACCAAGUGACAGUGGCUGGGUGGAAGCCCCUGCUCCUGCAGGCAGACAUCUGCUGAUAGCUUGAACCAGGUCUGAGAACGUCACACCCAGAUAUAAAGGCCCAGUUUAGAAUGGAGACAAUCCCCUUUCCAAAAGGGAUUUUGAUGUCACAACAGUCUGGGGGGGACAGUCAUGGAGAGGAAAGGGAAGCGCUGAUAGUCUGAGGCAGAAAGCUCUCUGAUUGUCUGAGACAAUUAAGAGGGGAGAAGCAAUCUCCACUGUCAAGUGACUGAGAGACAGUUCCAGGCUGAGUACUCCUUGGAAAUUUGAGACCUAAUUAAAGCAGGCCUUGGAUCUCAUCAUUCUUCCUGCACGCCAGGGACCAUGAAAUACUGACUUGCGCAUCUGUUCUGUAUGUGUAUUUGAUGCAAAUAAGAAAGAAGUCUGUAAAUACAUCAAAAACCAUACUUUAUUUUAUGUAUAGCAAUACAAUUUACAUAUUAAAUAACACUAUAAUAGAAUGAUUUGAUAUAGUUUUAAACAUAACAAAAAGAAGAUUCUUCAAGUUACAAAAAAACCCCAAACAAAAAAACCAAACCAAACCAAACCAAAAAUCUCCCUCAAAAUCCUCCCUCCCACCCUGUCCCAAAACCAAACACCACAUUUUUUUUUUUCUGAAUGGAUCAAUGAGACAAACGUAUCCAGUGACUGGCUAAGUCUAAUUCCUAUUGCACACACUGACAAUGGAAUAAAAAAAAAAGAGAAAAAGAAUCUAACCUUCACAAUCACUGCCCCAAAGAAAUGACGUGUGGAAAUCUUUUUGGAGUGUGAUGAUGGUGUCUCACUACCUUGAUACACAGAAGGUAUGGAUUCACAUAGCCACCACAGAACUAGGAAGGAGGUGAAACUAGAAAAAAAUUAGCUUUAUAUGAAAAUAUAAAAUUCUAUGAUUAUAUACCAUAGAUACAAAGUUCCCAGAAGAUGCUUAUCCAA